CGCGUAGCCUAGCCCGGAUAAGGCGCUUGCCUUCGGAGCAAGAGAUCUCAGGUUCGAAUCCUGGCGCGCCCGCCA
This 75-nucleotide transfer RNA is filed under the name Candidatus Thorarchaeota archaeon. RNAcentral's name for it is "tRNA-Arg". It matches the Rfam family "tRNA". Rfam says of the family: Transfer RNA (tRNA) molecules are approximately 80 nucleotides in length. Their secondary structure includes four short double-helical elements and three loops (D, anti-codon, and T loops). Further hydrogen bonds mediate the characteristic L-shaped molecular structure. tRNAs have two regions of fundamental functional importance: the anti-codon, which is responsible for specific mRNA codon recognition, and the 3' end, to which the tRNAs corresponding amino acid is attached (by aminoacyl-tRNA synthetases). tRNAs cope with the degeneracy of the genetic code in two manners: having more than one tRNA (with a specific anti-codon) for a particular amino acid; and 'wobble' base-pairing, i.e. permitting non-standard base-pairing at the 3rd anti-codon position. The record is from RNAcentral. Lineage: Archaea; Promethearchaeati; Candidatus Thorarchaeota.